This is an RNA transcript of Aethalodelphis obliquidens (Pacific white-sided dolphin), 3411 nucleotides long. It is a transcript of the gene named interleukin 20 receptor subunit alpha, with no coding region annotated. NCBI's taxonomy places the organism in Eukaryota, Metazoa, Chordata, Mammalia, Artiodactyla, Delphinidae. The transcript has 9 exons. The record is from RefSeq and is a predicted model, not a curated record.
UGCAGAUGACGAGGAUUAAAUGGAAUCAAUGGAAUCAAAUACAAUGGAUGGCAGAGUGACUGACAGUGUGGGGAGAAAUAAAUAUCCAUUCUUCCUCCGGCACUGAACUCGGACAUUUCAAAAGUUUUACAGAAAUGACCAUCAGGCCCGAAGACCAGAAUCACUCUUCAGUGUGCGUGGCUCACGCUCCCUUUACUGGAGGGAGGUUUUCCCUGCAGCAGUAAUCUCGUUGGUCGCGGCGGUGGAGAGUCUCAGAUUGUCAGAGCAGCGAGCCUGAGGAGCUGGGACUAGAAGUCGCGGGCCCUCCCCUCUCCCUGGCGUCCGGCCCGGGCUGCGGCGGGACGCGGCUCCGCCUCCCCGGCCGCCCCGCCGACCCGAGCGCGGCGCGCAGUGGGAGCUGGGGCCCGGGGCGCCGAGGGGAGGCCGCGCUCCCACCGCCCGCGGCCCGAGGGGGCGUCGGACACUACCGGCCGCCCGCGGAGAUGUGACCCGGCCCCGCCGCCCAUGUGCGCCCCCCGACCCCCAGCGAAGACGGCUGCCAUAGGGGCCCCGGCACCCGGCCUCCCGGCCCUGCCGCUGCUGCUGCUGCUGGUGGCCGCGCCAACGGGACGGGCAGUUUCCUGUGUCUCUGGUGGUCUGCCUAAACCUACAAAUAUAACCUUCUUAUCUAUAAACAUGAAGAAUAUCCUACAGUGGAACCCACCACAGGGCCUACAAGGAGUGGAAGUUACUUAUUCUGUGCAGUAUUUCAUAUAUGGGCAAAAGAAAUGGCUGAAUAAAUCCGAAUGCAGAAAUAUCAGUAGGACCUACUGUGAUCUCUCUGCUGAAACUUCUGACUACGAACGUCAAUAUUAUGCCAAAGCUAAGGCCAUCUGGGGAACGAAUUGUUCUAAAUGGGCAGAAACUGGACGAUUCUAUCCUCUUUUAGAAACACAAAUUGGCCCACCAGAGGUUGCUUUGACUACUGAUGAGAAAUCCAUAUCUAUUGUUCUGACGGCUCCAAAGAAGUGGAAGAAAAACCCAGAAGAAAGCUCUAUUUCCCUGGAACAAAUAUACUCUAAUCUGAAGUAUAAUGUGUCCAUACAUAAUACUAAAUCAAAUAGAACGUGGUCCCAGUGUGUGACAAACCGAACGCUGGUAUUCGGCUGGCUGGAGCCGGACACUCUGUACUGCGUCCUCGUGGAGUCCUUCGUCCCAGGCCCUCCUCGCCUUGUUCAGCCGUCUGAGAAGAAGUGUGUCAGUACUUUGAAAGAUCAAACAUCAACACUGAAGGUUAAAGUCAUCUUCUGCUAUGUUUUGCCCAUAUCUGUUACUGUGUUUAUUUUUUCUGUGAUGUGCUACUCCAUGUACAGAUAUACCUACGUCGGCAAAGAGAAACACCCAGCAAAUCUGAUUUUGAUUUAUGGAAAUGAAUUUGACAAAAGAGUCUUUGUACCUGCUGAAAAAGUUGUGAUUAACUUUAUCACCCUCAAUAUUUUGGAGGAUUCUAAAACUGCUCAUAAGGAUAUAAGUGUAAUGGAAAAAAGCAAUGAUGCCUCAGACCUGAAUGAGCCCAGCAAGGACCAGGAGCCCCAUCAGGAGGAAGUGGAGGUGAAACACCUGGGAUAUGCUUCACAUGUGGUGGACAUUGUGUAUGACCCUGAGAAAAGCACCCAAGGGACUUCCUUAAGCCAGCAAGAGCCACCCAGCAGGACAAUGCCCACAGAUAAAACAGUCAUCGAAUAUGAAUGUGAUGUAAGAACUAGUGACAUUUCUGUGGGGCCUGGAGACCAGGAGUUCAAUUUGCAGGAGGAAGUGUCCCUACAAGGAAAGUUAUCUGAGCAACAGGCAACUUUAGCAGACUUGGGUCCACAAACACUACCAUAUUCAUGUACCCCUCAGCUCAGAGACUUGGACCACCUGCCGCAGGGGCAUGUGGACACAGAGGAGGGGCCAGAGGCAGAACCGUCAACCACACUGGUCGAUUGGGACCCUCGGACUGGCAGGCUGUGUAUACCUUCAUUAUCCAGCUUUGAACAUGACUCAGAGAGAUGUAAGCAUCCUGAGUCUGAGGGACUCGAGGAGGAGGGCCUCUUAUCUAGACUCUACCAGGAUCGGGCUCCAGACAAGACACUGGAGGAACAUGAAGCCUAUCUCAUGCAGUUUAUGGAGGAAUGGGGAUUAUAUGUACAAAUGGAAGAAUAACACUCAAACGUCCCUUUGCCAGACCUCUACUGUUACAAAACACUGCUUGUUUCAUUCCGCCUCCUGUGGGUGCUGGGUUGUGCAUGCGGGUCUCCCGCACUGAUGGUGGGCACCCAGAGUGCAGUGGCUGACCCUCUUUGUACCCAGAAUGCACACAUGAGGCUGGAGGUAGAAGAGCCGUCUUGCAAGCAUGAAGCAAAAAGCAAGAAGGUUGAGCUGGAACACUGUUCACUGAUACCAUCAGGAAGCAGCUACACCAAUCCCAGACUGCCAACUUCUGCACUUCUUAUUUUAUUAGAAACACAAAUUCUUUUGGUUGGGUGCUGAAUCCAGUUUUUAUUAUAUGCAGCCAAAUGAAAUCUUAACUGAGAUACCCCUUUGCUUACGUUACCUUGGGUGGGUUUUUGUUUCUUGCAACUUGCUGUCUUUGCACCAUCCAUACCCUAUGGAUCCUUUUCCUGCACAAGGGCCUUCCCUCAAGGUGCUUUCACUCCUACCAACCAGUACCUGCAGCUCUUUGUUAGAGGACUACUCUCAGGCUGCCCAGCCUGUUGGUCUUAAGAGCUAUAACUACCCAGGAAUUUACAUCCCCUGGGAGCUAUUUGUAACCCUUGCCUUACUCUGGAUGGUUUUACUUACUGCAGGAUUGAGUAAGAGUUAUGCCCUGUGAGAUAUUGAUCUGACACUCUUGCACAAUCCCACUCCCCUACCAGUUUCUCCUAGGGACAUUUCCUAAUGAACUACUUUCCCAUGAAUCCUUAUCUCAGGGUCCACUUAUGGGAAACUCAACCUAAGAUGCAAUCCAAAGAUCCCUGAAUAGAAUACAUAUUCUCAAGUGCUAGGGACUGAAUGUUUGUGUCCUCUCAAAACUCUUUUGUCGAAACACUUUGUCCCCAGUUUGAUGGUAUUUGGUGGUGGUAAAUAGGAAAUUAGGCCUUAAGGGUGGAGUCCCCAUGAUUAUAAGUGCCCUUAUAAAAAGAGGAAGAGACAUGAGAUCUCUCUCCCUCUUUUUUUUUGUGCACAUGCCAAGGAAAGGUCAUGUGAGGACAUAACCACAUGGACCCUCACUAAGGGCAUCGUGGCACCCUGAUCUUGGACUUCUAGCCUCCAGAAACAUGAGAAAUAAACAUUUAUUGUUUAAGUCAUCUAGUCUAUUGUAAUCUGCUAUAGCAAACUGACUAAGAUACUAAGGGACUUAAAAGUAAUUUAAAAGCCAAUCAGUUUUGA